This 721-nucleotide ribosomal RNA is filed under the name Leptobrachella liui (Fujian Asian toad). Its description in RNAcentral is "partial 12S rRNA'". It matches the Rfam family "Bacterial small subunit ribosomal RNA", at positions 312 to 1398 of the family's 1533-position model. The record is from RNAcentral. Lineage: Eukaryota; Metazoa; Chordata; Amphibia; Anura; Megophryidae.
AGAUAAGAAAGAGUUGGUAUCAGGCUUAACGCCCAAGACACCUAGCCCAGCCACACCCCCACGGGCACGCAGCAGUGGUUAAUAUUAAAUAUUUGCGCAAGCAAGAUUUAGUCAUAGUCAAAAAGGUUGGUCAAUUUCGUGCCAGCAACCGCGGUUACACGAAAGACCUAAGAUGAUAGAUUCGGCGUAAAGCGUGACUAGGGGCCUUAAACAUAAAGUUAAACCAUAAUAUAGCAGUUGUAUGCCAAUUUACUAGGGAAACCCAAUAACGAAAGUAACUUUAUCAUAUCCUGAACUCACGACAACCAGGGCACAAACUGGAAUUAGAUACUCCACUAUGCCUGGUCUUAAACUUUGAUUAAUCCGCCAGGAUACUACGAGCAUUGCUUAAAACCCAAGAGACUUGGCGGUGCUCUACAUCACCUAGAGGAGCCUGUUCAAUAAUCGAUGAUCCACGAUCUACCUCACCACUUAUUGCCAAACCCGCCUAUAUACCGCCGUCGCCAGUCUACCUCAUGAGAGAUAAAGUAGGUCCAAGGGCUUAUUGCCAAUACGUCAGGUCAAGGUGUAGCUAAUGAAGUGGGAAGAAAUGGGCUACAUUUUCUUAAAUAGAACACACGGAAGAUCACUAUGAAACCUGAUCAGAAGGAGGAUUUAGUAGUAAAAAGAAACCAGCAAGUUCUUUUAAAAUCGGUCCUAGAGCGCGUACACACCGCCCGUC